GGAGAGAUGGCCGAGCGGUCUAAGGCGCACGCCUGGAGAGCGUGUGACGGGCACAACCCGUCCGUGGGUUCAAAUCCCACUCUCUCCGCCA
This 91-nucleotide transfer RNA is filed under the name Marinitoga okinawensis. Its description in RNAcentral is "tRNA-Ser". It matches the Rfam family "tRNA". From Rfam's summary of the family: Transfer RNA (tRNA) molecules are approximately 80 nucleotides in length. Their secondary structure includes four short double-helical elements and three loops (D, anti-codon, and T loops). Further hydrogen bonds mediate the characteristic L-shaped molecular structure. tRNAs have two regions of fundamental functional importance: the anti-codon, which is responsible for specific mRNA codon recognition, and the 3' end, to which the tRNAs corresponding amino acid is attached (by aminoacyl-tRNA synthetases). tRNAs cope with the degeneracy of the genetic code in two manners: having more than one tRNA (with a specific anti-codon) for a particular amino acid; and 'wobble' base-pairing, i.e. permitting non-standard base-pairing at the 3rd anti-codon position. Lineage: Bacteria; Thermotogati; Thermotogota; Thermotogae; Petrotogales; Petrotogaceae. The record is from RNAcentral. RNAcentral also lists the same sequence under 1 other name.